CACCUGAGCUGCCGCAGACCAGGCGGAGGGUCCAUGGUAGAGCAUCUGCAUGAGCAGGUCUGGCAGAAGCACAGUCGUCUUCUUAUUGGCUGGUGGACACGUGGGAAACCACUCUGACUGAUGCAGGAAAGAAGGGUGGGCCGGUACUAGAAGUAGCUGUGCUGGCUGGAGUUGGCAAUUCUGAAAGUGAUUGUAAUUGUAAUUGGGAGGAACCAUGAGGACAUCCGAGGGGGCUUUCAUCACGCUCUUGUGGCUGCCACUGCACUGGCUCAGCCGAGGAGAGAAUGUGGAGCAGAGUCCAUCCACCCUGAGUGUCCAGGAGGGAAACAGCUCUGUUAUCACCUGUAGUUACUCAGACAGUGCCUCAAACUACUUCCCUUGGUAUAAGCAAGAACUUGGAAAAGGUCCUCAGCUCAUUAUAGACAUUCGUUCAAGUGUGGCCAAAAAAGAAGACCAAAGACUCACUGUUUUACUGAAUAAGACGGCCAAGCAUCUGUCCCUGCACAUCGCAGCCACCCAGCCUGCAGACUCAGCUGUCUACUUCUGUGCAGCAAGUGCACACUGCGUCCCAGACAGCUGCUGCCUGCACCCAAACCUGUGACUGGGCAACCCCUGUCCUUUGACACAGAACUUCAAGUAGAUCGUUUGUGCUAUUGUUUGUCUGCAGGCAGAAGCUAAUGUGUUAGACAUUAAAGCAUAACUUAAGACAACUGGGAUCGAGAUGACCCAGACAGGGUUAAAACAUUUUCUUGGAUGAUUGCUGCUCAAUGGAAUUCUUGAAGGGAGUUAGUAAAGUUUUAUUUUGAAAUUCAGA
This is a non-coding RNA of Panthera uncia (snow leopard), 814 nucleotides long. The record is from the annotation of a RefSeq genome assembly. Lineage: Eukaryota; Metazoa; Chordata; Mammalia; Carnivora; Felidae.